AAAAGCCCUAGGCGGACUUCAUAUAAUGCCACGAUACUGAUAGGCACUCAGGAAAUAUUAAUUACUAUUGAUGAAAGUGGUGACUCCUUUAAUUUAGACGCAAACAGCCAGAAAGGACUAAACACCCUGGGCUCUUUGCCUCUGUUGCAUUUGGAGACUGAUUAACACAGUCUUACAAUUAAUUACUUGUCCCUUCCACCCCUGGCACCUCAAACUCGGGUGCAUUCAGGUCACUGAGCAGUUGUGUGGACGUGUGUUAGGCUUUCUUGAGUUUUAGCCAGAGAGCCAGGCUACUAGCAGCUGUGCUAGACUUUUAAGAUGUGGAAAACUUGGUAAAUAUGCUAAAGUAAGAGACAGGAACCAGGCCAGAAAAUGGGGUGUCCGAAGAGAGUGGGAGGCCAUGAGGGGAAGUGUGCGCCGCAGACACCGGAAGCUGGGAGUUACGGCAAGAUAAAUCUGUGAGGGGCAGCCAGGAUGCAAAUUUCCAUCAUUCUUAGCAAGUCAGAACCAGGAGACCUCACUCUCUGCCCAUCAUGAUAAUUGUAAUUCCCAGGAUGAUCACUGAGCAGCUCCAAGUUCAGGCUGCCUGAGUGUCCAGGUGUUGGGGCACCUCAGGAUUUCACCCCAGGCUUAAUCCAGCUCAGGCUACACGAUCCGCUUACCUUCAGGGACAGGAACCAAGAGAAUCUCCUCAGUUACACAGGAAUGAGGAACUGAGAGUGGGAGGUAAUACAGAAGGGCUGCUGGGAUCAUAGGAGCAAGCCAAUGCAAAAGCCAGAGGAAUCCACACAACAGCAAGUACAUGAAUUAUUAUAGCAUCAUUAUUCAAAAGAGCCAAAAAGUGUUAAGGACUCAAAUGUUCAUCAACUGAUGAAUGGAUAAAUAAAAUGUGGUGUAUCUAUACACUGAAAUGUUAUUCAGCAAUAAAAACAAAUGAUGUACUGAUAUAUGCUACAACAUGGACGGAUACAAAUCACCAAUAUCAGGAAUGAAAGGGGUUAUCCCUACAGAGCCUGCGAACAUUAAAAUAAUAGUAGGGAAUAUUAUGAACAACUUUAUGCCAUCAAAUUGAACAAUUUAGAUGCAAUUGGACAAACUCCUUGAACAACUUAUAAAAACGGACAAAGGAUGAAAGAGAAAAUUUGAAUAGCCCUGUAUCUAUUAAAGUAAUUGAAAUUUGUUAUCAAAACCUCAGAAAGAAAAUUCCAGGCUUAUAUUGCUUCACUGGUGAAUUCUAUCAAAUACUUAAGAAAAAAAUAAUUCUUUUUGAAAAUAGAGUAGGAGGAAACACUUCUAACUCAUUUUAUGAGGCCAAUGAGGCCCUAACACCAAAACUCGACAAAACAUUAACAAAAAAAGAAAAUUACAGGCCAACAUCUCUCAUGAAUGUAGACACAAGAAUCCUUAACAAAAUAUUAGCUAAUCAAAUCCAGCAAUAUAUAAAAAAGGAUAAAUAUUAUGACCAAGUAGAUUUUACCCCAGAAGUGCAAAGUUGAUUUCACAUUCAAAAAUCAACCUGUGUAGUUUAUCACAUAUAUGGAAUAGAAGAGAGACACCACAUAAUUAUUUUAAUAGAUGGAGAAAAAGUAUUUGGAAAAAAUUCAAUACUCCGUUGUGAUAAGACAAAAACAAAAGCAAAAAACUAUCAGCCAAAUAGGAGAAAGGAACUCUUUCAAUCUGAUAAAGAGCAUCUAUGAGAAACCUGGAGUUAACAUCCUACUUAAUGGUGAAACUGAAUACUGUCUCCCUAAGAUCAGGAACAAAGUAAGAACAUCCAAUCUCUAUUCUAUUCAAGGUCCUAGCUUUUGCAAUAAGGCAAGAAAAAGAAACAAAAGCGUAAAGAUCACAAAGAGCUAAGAUCGUCUCUGUUUGCAAGUGUAAAUGGUAGCUGUUACUUGGGAUGCAGCAUUACAAAUAGUCCAUGUCGACUCAAGAACAGCCUGUGGGAACCCUUUGCUGAGGCUUCUAAACUAGAGAGCGGCUAGUGGUCAGGCUUUUCAAGGCUUCAGUAACCACUCUGCCUGGAGUUCUCCUAUUACAGAUGAGCUGCAUUUACAUGUGCUCAGGUCUUGGGCAUCCACAGAACCUGCAGCCUGUGUCUCCUUCCUGGUCUGGAGCAAUCGAAUGACAGACACCACAUAGGUCCCCCUCUGCUGUGGAGGUACUGGACCUAAAUGAAUUUCCAGUGGAUUAUUCUAGCUUUUUUAGCUAUGUAGGCCUAGACAAUGUUAUAAGUUUUUGCUUUUAAUAGUCAUAUGAAUUUUCAAGAAAUUAAAAUGGAAAAUAGUCUUUUAUAUUUCCCUGGAUAUUAACCUUUUUUAUUUUCUUUUUCCUUUUCUUCCUUCCUGAAGAUCUGAGUUUCCUGGUGAUAUAAUUUUCUUUUGCCUGAAGAAUUUACUUUAGAAUUUCUUACGGUACAGAUCUACUGGCAAUGACUUCCCCUAGUUUUCUUUUAUCCGAAGAUAUCUUCAUUUUGCUUUCAUUCUUGAGUAAUAUUUUCACUAGGUACAGAAUUCUAGGUUGAAUGUUUUUCUUUCAGCAUUUUAAAGAUGGUGUCCCACUGUCUUCUGACCUCACAUUGUUUCUGAUGAACAGCCAGUGAUAGCUUGAAUCGUUGAUCCCCCAUGUGCCAUUUUUCUCUGUCUGCUUCCAAACUUUCCUCUCUAUCUUAGAUUUUCAGCACUUGUUGUCCUUAGGCAUGGCUUUAUUCAUAUUUAUUCUGCUUGAGUUUCCUUGAUUUUCCUGAAUCUGAAAAUUCAUGUCUUUCACCAAGUUUCCUCCAUUAUUUCUUCAAAUUAUGCUUGGCCUCAUUUUCUUCCUCCUCUCCUGGGACUCUAAUUAUGUGUAUGUUUGACGUUUUGAUAUUGUCCCAAAGGUCUCUGAGGGUCUGUUCAUCUUUUUCAACCAUUUUCUUAUUUUUAUUCAGAUUGAUUAGCUUCUAUUGAUCUACUUCUAUUGAUCACUGACUUGUUCCUUUGUCAUCUACAUUCUGCUAUUAAGUCCAUCCGUUGGAAUUUUUGGGGGGACUUUCAGAUAUUACACUUUUCUUUUGUUUUUCACAUAUUACAAUUAAUUUUUAAAAGAAUUUCAGCUUCAUUCUCGUAAAGGUUAAUCUUAUAUGUCAACUUAACUGGGUCACGGUGCCCAGAUAUUUGUUCAAACAUUAUUCUUGAUGUUUCUGUGAGAGUGUUUUGAAUUUAAAUUUAAAUUAGUAGACUUUGAGUAAAGCAGAUUGCUCUCCAUAGUUUGGGUGGGCCUCAUCCAAUCAGUUGAAGGCUUGAAUAGAACCAAAGGCUGACCUCUCACUAGCAAGAAGGAAUUCUGCAGCAGCCUGCUUCAGACUUCAUCUGCAGUGUGGGCUCUUCCUGGAUCUACAGCAGACUGACUUUGGACUUCAUGUGUGACAUCGACUCAUUUCUGGAUCUCCAGCCUGAUGGCCUUCAGACUUGAACUGUAACAUCAGCUCAGCCCUGGGUCUCCAGACUGCUGGUCCACUCUGCAGAUUUUAGACUUGCUAACUUCUGUAAUCACAUGAGCCAAUUCCUUAAAAUAAAUCUCUAUGUAUACAGACAUCCUAUUGGUUCUGUUUCUCUGGAGAUCCC
Molecule: long non-coding RNA, 3602 nt
Organism: Equus asinus (donkey)
Lineage: Eukaryota; Metazoa; Chordata; Mammalia; Perissodactyla; Equidae
Source: Ensembl